CACGUGUAAAAGUUUUGGCAGUAUGCUCUAAACAGCGAUAAUUUUACCUCUUCAUUACUACAAGCAAAUCUGCGGGCCAAUAUAUUGCCUCGGACCGAUAGCGGCCUUCGCUAUAACGCCUCUCUAUAUCACCGUCGUCCACGAGGUGCUCGUUAACUAUAUGGCCGAGAUACUUGAACUCAGCCACCUGUUUCAGGGGAGAUCCACACAAUCGUAUGAUGGGCUGAAAAUUGGUAGUAAUUUGCGAAAAUAAAAACUUUUGACUUGUACCUUUUUUCAUAUUUAAGUGUUUUAAUUAUGUGCUUAAUGUUACUUGUGCAUUUAAAUCACUGAUCAUAGCACAAUAUUCCUAAAACAAAAGAAGACGAACAUUUUAGAUUUAUUAUAUUUUGUUAUCACUCGUCUAUUCACAUAAUUUACCUGAAUUUUACCAGUUUACGAAAGUUUUACGUCCAAAUGGAUAUUACUCUAGUACUCCAGAUAAAUAAGUAAUCACGAAAAAUAUUUUAAAAGCAUUUAAAUCACGAAGUACGAAAAAUAAUAUUGAAUAUUAGUGAUUGAUUACUGACAAAGGGGUACAACUUGACAAAUAUCGAUUUCCACGAUUUUCUUAACAGUUACCAUAUCAUUUUGGAAAAAAAAAAUUCCGUUACUAUAGCAGAUAGAUAGAAGAAUUUGAAUUUGACUAAAAAAAUCAUUAUUUUUCUGAUUGUAUAUGAUAUUUCCGUUAAAAUCACAAAAAGGGUACACUCGAUUUGAAAUAAGAUCAAUCACAUCACAGGAAACAGAAUUCAAUUGUAAUAA
This 804-nucleotide unclassified non-coding RNA is filed under the name Melitaea cinxia (Glanville fritillary). Its description in RNAcentral is "misc RNA ENSMCXG00005014252.1". The record is from RNAcentral. Lineage: Eukaryota; Metazoa; Arthropoda; Insecta; Lepidoptera; Nymphalidae.